Molecule: long non-coding RNA, 1061 nt
Organism: Tachysurus fulvidraco (yellow catfish)
Lineage: Eukaryota; Metazoa; Chordata; Actinopteri; Siluriformes; Bagridae
Exons: 3
Source: RefSeq, a predicted model, not a curated record
UCUGUUUAUUUUAUUAGAUUCUUGUUUCUUUUUUUUUGCCUGCAGUCACUGUGAGGCUCCGUCAGUCUCCUCAGAGCUGCUCUUUAAUAACACACUCCAUGACAACGAGCUCAGAGACAGGGCUGAUUGCAGACUUUAAAAAUGAACAAGCUAAAGGAUUCGAGUGCACUGGUGACAAAACACUGCUUCGCUGCUCUACACUUUUAUUUGGACCUAUUAGAGUCCUGAUCUGUAGAUAUCGCGAGAAAUCGUCACAACGGUGGACACAAGGAGAACGUCUCCAUAAACUCAACCAAACCAGGAGUCCUGAAGCUGUGAAGGAGACGACAACAUCUACAGUAUGCUGCUGUCUUCAAUAAAAUGUCGUUGAGAUGGUUUUUUUUUCCCUUUAAUUGGUCCAGUUUGACUGACUCUGUGCCUGUGUUAGCCUCAGGUUCCUGUUCUUGCCUGACAGGGGGUUAGAGACCUUUGUGGUUGUUUAACUCUGUCCACUUAAAGUUUUGAUGUUUUGUGCAUGCUGAGAUGCUUUUCUUCUCACCACAGGCUUAAAGAGUGAUUAUUUGAGUUACUGACCAAUCAAACAGAUCUCUCUAAUCAGUAAGUCGUUUCCACCCACAGAUACCAGCUUGGUUCGUGUAGUUAAGAGCCCGAAUAGCGCCCCGGUGUUCCUAUUAAAGCGGACAGCGAGUGUAUGUAGAACAUAUAUAAUUGAAAGCUAUGUUAGAAUAUCUCAGUGAAUCGAAUUACUCGGAAAAUACUGCGGAAGAAUUGUCUAUCACACGAAGAUCCUCUGUUUUGACCAAUCACGUACGUUUAUGCAAAUUAUUAUGCAAAUUGUUUCAAUUCGCUCUUUCUGCAAUGAUCAAUAAUGUCUCAAUUAAAAUAGUCCAAACAGAUAUUUAUAUAUAUUGUUAUAUAUUAUAUAUAUGUUUACGGAUGAAUACACUGAGAGAGUUAUGCUACGAAAGACAUACAGUAUGUGAAGGGUAUAUAUGUGAAAUAUGGUAUGUAUUUAGACCUUUUUGAGAUUUAUUCGAAUUCUCGUGCUAUCGAAGCGAUGA